Long non-coding RNA from Leopardus geoffroyi (Geoffroy's cat), 2480 nucleotides. RefSeq lists it as uncharacterized. The record is from RefSeq and is a predicted model, not a curated record. The transcript has 7 exons. Lineage: Eukaryota; Metazoa; Chordata; Mammalia; Carnivora; Felidae.
UUGGCGUCUCCGGGCGCCGGGGAGAGGCUGGUCUAACGGAGUUUAAGCCUUUUGCGGGGCUCCUAGCGGUCGUAUGUUUGUUUGCAGAAAUGAUUACGUGAGCACAGAGGGCAGAUUACAAUGAGGAAAGCAUAUUAUCCAGUUUGUGCCUUUCAAAAGUUCUUUUUCCUCUAUGAGUCACGGCAUAACCACGUUCUUGCUGGUAGGAGACACUGGCAGUUCAACUCCAGCAGGAAAAAUGUCUCCAAGCUAGGAGGAAACCUAGACCCACCCUCUGUGUGAGGCUGUGGUUAGGGAGCCCAUACGAGUCUCAGUCGACUCCUUUUGAUCCGCCCUUUGUCUUGGUAAUUCGAUCACUUGGAGCUGUGCACAUCUCUUCCUGGCAAACGUAGUAACAAAGGAAGAGCAUACCUGUGUGAGACGGUUUUCUUCAUAUACUUCAACCAAAUGCAUAUGGCAAUAGAUUCAGUGUAGAGGCAGAUGAGUGUCCGGUUGUUUUCGACCGAGCUAGACCUUAAGGAUGUCACAAAAAGAUGGCUUAUACGUUUGCAAAUGUCACCCAGGAAACUGCCUUGGAGCUGAGGCGUGUGAAACAAAGGCAAGUCCUUGAGCAGAUCCUUCAAGGAGCUUAUGGGGAGCUUCAGGGAGCUACUAAGGUCAAAACGUGGAUCCACAGUUCUUUGAGGUAAGAUAAGAUUGGUUCUGGUCCCUCCGGUACCAGUAACCUGCACCAGGAAAAUGGACUUCUGUCUUCAAGUCUGUAGCUGCGUUGGGGAUGGUAACAAGAUUCUAGAGUUCUGAAAAACUUCAUCGUGACAAUUCUUGCCGGCUUGUUCCCUGCUUUUAUGAAGGGAUGAAGGUUUGGAGUUGUCUACUCUGCUGUUUUCAGAGACGUCUGUCCUGUGGAGAGAAUGGGUGACACGGGUGUGGUAUUCCUGAUUCCAACAAAAGGACAGCAUCCGGUCCAGAUCCCUUCCCACUUCUCUGGGAGUCUUGAGAGUUGGAUGGCGAGGAGAUUUGUGGCUGAGCCCUGGAAAUCAUUGACCUGCCCCUUCUGUGGGGUCUACUCUGAGGAGCCCUAUUCCAUAACGUACGCACCUUCUGUCCAAGGCGCCUGGGCUCCUCGGUGAUGCAGACUGACAAGAGGCUUUUCAUCCACUCCGGGUGCAUUCAGUUCUCCCAGAAUAAGUAAGGCCAGGAAAGCCUGGUAGCAGGACGUUUGGCAGACCUUUCUAGAGAGUUGGACUCUGGAGUCGAGCACUGAGCAUGGGCCUUAGGUCGGCAGGUUUCUGUGUGACCGUGACAGAAAACCGGAAAAGACUCAUCUCUUCCUUUUACCUGCACUGUUUUGAAGACCUCUGCUUGACAUCUUGCAAACAACUUAUGCUUCCCCUGCCUUCAGCAUUUGGCGAGAAAGCACCAGACGGGCUAUUCAUUUCUCGCCAGCCUCUUGACAUUCCUCAGAUACGCAAGAUCCGGAUCAACACGGCCCUUGGGAGGGUGGCUGAGACGAAGGUGCUCACGCCUGCGCCAAGCCCGUGCUGCUGUAUGCUCGGCUUUUAUGUGAACGUGAACUUGGGUUCACUAACCACCACCGACUGUCUCACAUCCUCUGAGACAUGUGAGGUGUCAGAAGGGUAUGUCUGCUCCAGUCCGGUAGAGACUCCCGAGACAUUCCUCCCCGCCGCUGGCGUCCUGGCUUCUCCACUUCACUUCUGGCCGCAACGAUUAGAAGAUGGAAACGGGAGGGAGGUAGAAAUGGGAUAUAGGUGCUUGCUUGGCAUCUGCCCAUUGUCAAGGAACAUUCCCUGUGUCUUCAGAGCUCGGAUUCAGGGUUGGGAGCCUCACAGGAGGAUGUGAAGUUGUGUUAUCCGAACCCAGGACUGUUCUCCACAUGCACCGAGAGUUACAGAAGGACGGAGCCGUGAAUUGCUGCUUUAGAAGGAAACCAAAAGCUAGCCUGUGGACAGUAUCCAGGAGGAAUCUGUGUAAAAUGCCAAUGAAAAUACUCCCAGUCAAAACAUGAGGUGUGUGGGUGAGCUGCGAACAAAGAAGACGUCAUCACAUUGAAGGCUCAACGUGCCAAGCGAGAAAGAUGACCGAUAGGCAGAUGAAGCACCCAACUGCACAAGCUAAAGGCGGACUCCGAAACAGAAGGCUUUCCAAGGGAAAGUAUUUGCAAAGACAAGAAGGAAGUCAGAUUUCAGAAAGAUCUGCUCCCCCAGUAGAGAGCCUGGUAAGCAUUUGAUUCAAGAAACCAUAAAGUUAUCAAGGUUUCCAAGUUUAUAUCCGUGUGUUAAUGCUGGCAACAGACAACUUCCUUACGUGACGUUAUAGUCAAAAAGACCAAGUCAUAGUCUCAGAUGCCAACAUAACAAGAUCAGGAGCGGAAUUGCUCUUGUUUGGAAACCAGGUUUAUGGGAUGUUCGCUAUUUUAAGAGCUUGGAGACCCAAGCCAGUUAGGGUGGUCCUGUUAUUUU